UCGUAACAAGGUUUCCGUAGGUGAACCUGCGGAAGGAUCAUUAAUUAUGUUAAAGCGCCUUACCUUAGGGUUUCCUCUGGGGUAAGUGAUUGCUUCUACACUGUGAAAAUUUGGCUGAGAGACUCAGACUGGUCAUGGGUAGACCUAUCUGGGGUUUGAUCGAUGCCACUCCUGGUUUCAGGAGUACCCUUCAUAAUAAACCUAGAAAUUCAGUAUUAUAAAGUUUAAUAAAAAACAACUUUUAACAAUGGAUCUCUUGGUUCUCGCAUCGAUGAAGAACGUAGCAAAGUGCGAUAACUAGUGUGAAUUGCAUAUUCAGUGAAUCAUCGAGUCUUUGAACGCAGCUUGCACUCUAUGGUUUUUCUAUAGAGUACGCCUGCUUCAGUAUCAUCACAAACCCACACAUAACAUUUGUUUAUGUGGUGAUGGGUCGCAUCGCUGUUUUAUUACAGUGAGCACCUAAAAUGUGUGUGAUUUUCUGUCUGGCUUGCUAGGCAGGAAUAUUACGCUGGUCUCAGGAUCUUUUUUUUUGGUUCGCCCAGGAAGUAAAGUACAAGAGUAUAAUCCAGUAACUUUCAAACUAUGAUCUGAAGUCAGGUGGGAUUACCCGCUGAACUUAAGCAUAUCAAUAA
RNAcentral lists this unclassified non-coding RNA (632 nucleotides) under Rhizopus arrhizus. RNAcentral's name for it is "sequence contains 18S rRNA gene, ITS1, 5.8S rRNA gene, ITS2, 28S rRNA gene". The stretch from base 237 to 390 matches the Rfam family "5.8S ribosomal RNA". The record is from RNAcentral. Lineage: Eukaryota; Fungi; Mucoromycota; Mucoromycetes; Mucorales; Rhizopodaceae.